This is a long non-coding RNA of Podarcis raffonei (Aeolian wall lizard), 640 nucleotides long. RefSeq lists it as uncharacterized. The transcript has 2 exons. NCBI's taxonomy places the organism in Eukaryota, Metazoa, Chordata, Lepidosauria, Squamata, Lacertidae. The record is from RefSeq and is a predicted model, not a curated record.
CCCCCUUGCUGAUUCUUGACAAACAACUUCUUUCUGGACAAGCAACUUUGGACUGCACCUGGGAAAACUGUGAGAUUUUGUAUGAAGAGUGAUAGAAAAAUAUUUUUAAAUAAAAUAAAUAAGAGCACCACCCAUUAUUUGUCUUUUCAGCAACAUAAGGUUAAUGGGUCUUCAACAAUAUCCAAGGACAAAGAAAAGGCAAAGAGAAACACAAGAGCAUGUUGGCUACAAAUGGAACAAAUGGGAUUAAUGUAAUAUCAAGCAACAUGCCUAUGUGGGUAUGCCUGAGCAAGUCAUCAUCCUCAAGAGGUAUCAAGUGAAGAUUCAUAAUGGAACAAUGAUCCUUUCUACAAGCACUGUCUUUCAUCAGAGGAUCUGUAAGUACCUUGCACACAUUGAGGAACCAAGCAACACAACCAGGUAUUGGCAUCCUCAUAAUAAAAAGAGAAAUACCAACUAUCAAGAGCAUGGCAAUGUACUAAGGGUAGCACAUCAGUCAGUGGCAGUGAUGGACAGAAAGGCUAGAAUAUAAAAGGUGUAAUUUGCAUCUAUCACUUAAGAACCUAUGAAGUGCCAUGUAUUUGCAAAUUGAUGCAGAUUUCAUCAUUCAAUUAAGACAACAAAGCUUUUCCUAAUAUUG